AUUCCAGCUCCAAUAGCGUAUAUUAAUGUUGUUGCAGUUAAAAAGCUCGUAGUUGGAUUCCUGGUCGGAACGCCGGUCCGGCUCCGCAAGGGGUCGUGUAUUGGUUUCUCCUGCCAUCCUCAGGGGGAGCUGCGCUGGUAUUCAUUUAUCGGCGUGGUUACGCCUGUCGUUUACUGUGAACAAAUUAGAGUGUUCAAAGCAAGGUGUACUUGAAUACAUUAGCAUGGAAUAAUAAGAUAGGACUUUGGUGGUUCUUUUUGAUAUUUUGUUGGUUUGCACGCCAAGGUAAUGAUUAAUAGGAGCAGUUGGGGGUAUUCGUAUUCAAUUGUCAGAGGUGAAAUUCUUGGAUUUAUAGAAGACGAACUACUGCGAAAGCAUUUACCAAGGAUGUUUUCAUUA
This 399-nucleotide ribosomal RNA is filed under the name Pedinellales sp. RNAcentral's name for it is "partial small subunit ribosomal RNA". It matches the Rfam family "Eukaryotic small subunit ribosomal RNA", at positions 582 to 975 of the family's 1831-position model. Lineage: Eukaryota; Dictyochophyceae; Pedinellales. The record is from RNAcentral.